RNAcentral lists this long non-coding RNA (422 nucleotides) under Mus caroli (Ryukyu mouse). RNAcentral's name for it is "predicted gene 12214 (MGP_CAROLIEiJ_G0002606.1)". The record is from RNAcentral. Lineage: Eukaryota; Metazoa; Chordata; Mammalia; Rodentia; Muridae.
AUUGAAGUUAGAUAGGAGCAGGAAGCCCCGGUGUGGCAUCCCUCAGCAAGAGAGUCAUUAAGUAUCAUCUAUCUAAAAGGGUUAGGAGAAAGGAUGCUGAGGUUGGGUAUGUUAUCCUUGGCUACAUUACCAGUUUGAGGCCAGCCUGUGCUACAGGAAUUUCUGUUAUGCGUAUACAAAAAGGUUAAACACUUUGCAUAUAUGGACAAAGAUAGGUUUAACUUGACUACAGGACAUAAAUAUGAAUGGAAACAGCAUUGCAUUGGUAUCCCUUGCAUUUGCACAGUUUUGUGGGGUUUUUGCAUCUGUUGACAAUUUAACUUAAAAUGUGAAGUCCUGUCGCCAUGCAGCAGCUCAGCCUCAGCCUUCCAUUGCCCACUCCGUACUCAUCACACCAAGGAACUCUUGCAGGUAAUCCAGGA